AGAACUUUGAAAAGAGAGUUAAACAGUACGUGAAAUUGUUGAAAGGGAAACGAUUGAAGUCAGUCAUACUAACGGGAAAUCAACCUCUUGAGUUUGGUCUCGUGGGUUUCGAAGAG
Molecule: ribosomal RNA, 116 nt
Filed under: Funneliformis caledonium
Lineage: Eukaryota; Fungi; Glomeromycota; Glomeromycetes; Glomerales; Glomeraceae
Description: partial large subunit ribosomal RNA
Source: RNAcentral